UGUGAUUUACGGAUAUGUACUUUAAUGCAAGUGCAGAAAUGUCACUUAUGUGUACUCUCUCUGGUUUCUCUCUCUCUCUCAGUGGCGAUUUUCUCUUUAAAGCACGAUUUUCGUAUAGAAUAGAAGCACUUUAAAUUAUGUAUUAGUUGUCUUCUAGCAUAUUCUAGAAGAUGUUUUGCACAUAGUCUUCAUCACAGUUUGUCUCAAAUUUUCGAGGUUUUUUUUUUUUUUUUUUUUAGGCUGUUUCCAUGGCAACGGCGGCCAUUUUGAAAAUUUCAAAGACAGAUGACAAUACAAUAGCAUUUAAACGGGAAUGAGCUUAAAAUUUGUACGAAAAUGUUACUUUGACGUUUUUUACCAUAUGGGUCCAAUGUGCACUUUCAGCGUUAUCUCCAUGGUAACAGCAGCUAUCUUAAAAAUUCCAACGGCAAUGAAUUCUACAGUUUAUACUACUGUACAUGUUUUAUAGUUACGGGUUUUUUUGGCCGUAUCUGUAGCGGUUUAUUUUCUAUGAAUUAAUUAAGGAUUUAUUUUCGUUUUUUUCACGUUUGGACUGUUUCCAUGACAACGGUAGCCAUUUUAAAAGUUCUUAAGAUGGAUGUCACGCCUUCUAACGAUGAGUUAUUAGUUCUGAAAGUUUCAUUUAAUUUGGACCAUUUUUCGGUUUUUUACAUUUUUGCCGUUUCCAUGGUAACGGCGGCCAUCUUGAAAAUUCCAUGCCCAAGGUGCAACUUUGCACAUGGGGAUUGUCAUUAUGGUGCAGUUUUAUAAAUGUAUGUCAAGGCAUCUCCGAGAAAUCGGCUGGACAAAAAGUGUGGAAGAAAAAAUUCGUAGAAUAACAAUAUAUCCCCCCUUUUUCAAAGGGGUGACAUAAAAAAAAGAAACAUAGAAUAACAAUA
This 899-nucleotide long non-coding RNA is filed under the name Mytilus galloprovincialis (Mediterranean mussel). Lineage: Eukaryota; Metazoa; Mollusca; Bivalvia; Mytilida; Mytilidae. The record is from RNAcentral.